GGAAUUACUGCAGAGUCUGACCUGCAGACGCUACCAAUUACUGGAGUAAAUAGAGCUGUACAUGGUAAUCAUUUCUCUGCCUUGCUCGUGGGCAUUCUGGCAGGAAAGAUGAAGAGGCAGAUGACGAUUGUAGACUCAUCAGGUGGGACUUUUCUGACACGGGCCGACUUAAAAUCUCAAAAAUACCAAAUGAGUGAGUGAGAAGUGCUUUCGAUUGUGAUUCAUUUUUGCAUGAAAAUUGAAGCGUUUGAGAUGAUUUCUCAGAGUCUAGGCUUCUUGGCACGCUCUUUCCUUUUCCUCUGAAGUUUUAUUUCUUUUGUCCCAGUCAUGCAAAGCUGAUGUCCUCUUUAUCCACCUGAGCAUCAAGAGGAUUCAGAUCUGAUGUCUCAUUUCUGCAAUAAUCCAAAUACAAAUGCCUCAUCCAGAGCCUGUUUUGAAAACUGCAUCAAUAUUAAAGAAGCACAAACACAAAGCUAAUCAUUUGUUCUCGACCAGCUGCUGCCCAGAUACAACCUGAGGCUAUUUUUAGCUCUUUUUUCCCUCGCUGUGCCGUGACAGAGAGGAGAGCCAGCCGCCCUGAGGAAGCGACUUGGCAGGAUCUGUUGAGUCAAGGUGAUGACGGCUCUUUGUGUCCUCCUGAGAUCGAGAUCAGGGACCUUUCUGAGCCAGAGCAAGGUGUUCAUAUUAACCUGAAACACAUCAGGGAGCAAACAGAGACACUAAAGAAAUCCGUUUCUGGAAAUAAAACUUCAGAUUUCCCAAACAACUCGUGUCUCAUGUUUGACGUUAGUGACUGAUGUUCUCUUUGAUUGAUUUUGUGGUCAGACGCAGCAUCAUGCAGGAUUUCACAUGACUGAAGUGUCUUUGGUUUCAAAAAAUGGAAAAAUUUACUUUAAUUUUAAACAUCUCCUGGAAAUGGAAAACUUCUUUCAGGGAAUGAUUCAUCAAGUUCCUUUGUCCGUUACAAGGCCAGAGUUUGUUUUCGUGGUUGGAGAGCUGAGUAACCCCAGUUUUAAAGCCUUCAUUGACUGAGAUAGAGAAGCUUUGUUCACAGUAUAAAGUCACCUUGUGUUGGUCUGAUUCAUACACAUUCGAAUUCUCCGCUGUUGAAACAAAAACCUCAAAAAUCCAAAAAGUUAAUUUUUUAUGGAUUUCAAUGUCAGUGCACUUGUCAGGAGUUACAGUCUAUUUCCUGUUUUUCUUCUUCUAUCUUUUCAUGACAGACGGAGAGAAAAACUGAAACAAGAGAUUGUCCAAAAAAAUAAUUUGAGUUGAGCACUUUUGUCUUCUUUAGACCCCUUGGAUGGAUCUGGACUCCCGAGUUUGAGAAGUACGCUCCUUCAGGAUUCAGGAGUAGAAACCUGACAGAAAACAUCCAAAAUCUAAAAUGAGCUUCAAUUCAGAAUCAGAAUUUCUUUGUAAAAUCUUCAGAUAAAAUACCGAAACCUGAGCCAAAGCCCCAGACUACCAACAUGUUUUGUUUUUGCCGUCAGGGCUGUCUGAGUUUUUAUCGAAAGCAGCUUCAGUCUCUAUUCUUCUAAAACAGAAACCUGCAGACUCUUUGCCCUGCAAGGAGAACUGCUGGAGACCGCCGAGCCAACCGACUAAACUGCAAAGUGCAACAGAGCUGCAGCAGAACAGGUCACGAGUUAAAGAUGAGCCUGACUCGGUUUUAGAAAUCCCCACCAGACAACUUCGCUUCGACCUCCUGCACGACCACAAUCGAGACCACCUGAGUCAAAUCUGAGUCAGACUAAAGAUUACAGAGAGUCAUGUUAUUGGCAGGAUGCUUCAGACUGAACGGCUGCAUGCCUCUUACUCUGUUUUUGGGUUGAGGAAUUAUCUGUCACUAUUUUGAAACACAAAUGAUGAUUAAAAACACAACAGGCUGCAUGUUUCAACAAAGCAUUUCCAGUGAAGCGCUCCUACAGAGUCGACACCGCUUUAGGGUUUCUUUUGUGCAGAAUUGGACAAGAUACCUUUGGUUGUGUUUGAGGGUUAUCGCUCAAAUCUUCUCUUGAAUCAUAAAAGAAAUGUGUUUAAGUCCACCGUCACCUUGGAAAUGUGUCUUUGGUUUUGGUUUUCCAGUAGUGUUAACAGUAUCAGUGUGCAGAGAAAAGCCCUGCAGUGUGAAGCGGGUGCAGCAGACUAAGAUAUAUCGGAGCAGACAGCUGUCAUGGCCGGUCUAGCAUCACCCCACUGGCUGCAUUCAUACAGCCUGCCUCUGUUUACACAGGAAAAGUGAGGAAGCUGUAACGUUACCUGUCAGGAAAAACUCUGCCCUGUUUGUGUAUCAGUGGACAUUGACCUGAUUUUAUGAGCUUCAUUAACGGUUGAUAUCUGUUUCAGUGCGGGGCAGAGUUUGGAGGGAGGCCACGCUGUAGAGAUUAUGAUUCAGAGGUUGGAACCACUCAGGACAUGAUUACAGGUGAGUUUAUUUCUGUAAAACACAGGAGAGACUUAAAUGUUAGUUUAAGUCUUCCAACCAAUCCCAGCUGAUCAUUUCUUUCCUUGCGGGAGCUCUUUGAUAUCACAAACACCAAAUAUUACCGUAGUGUUUUCAUAAAUUCCUAAUCCUGGGGUUCCUCAGGGAACCGUCCCGGGUCCCCCUACGGUUUUGUUCAGUAAAACCUUCAAGGUUUCUUUGGGGUCUUUCACAUCCCUCAGUGCGCAGGCAUGAAAAUGUGUUUUAAAACAUCUUAAGCACAUUACAGGCGUGUUACACACCAUUCUGUUUCUAUAAUCACAUUUAGAAAAACGACAUGCAUCAUUAUCAAGGGAGGAAAUUAACAUUUUCAUCCACCGGCCACAAUGGUUUGUGCCUUCCAAAUAUUUGCCUCAGCGUCUCAGCAGCCAAAUGUGAUUCUGAAAAAUGCAAAAGGAGUCUGAGCAGAACGGGAGGUUACCCCAGUGUGUAGCGCUGCAGGCUGGUGGUGUUUCUCUUCAGCACAGAUUAGUGAUUUUAGGCGGAGCACUUUUACUUUUAUUGACUCCUUUCAUAUGAUCUAGAGGAAGGAUUAGAGAUAAGUUGAUAUGAGAUGGCAGAGGAUUACAUCAAAUCAAUAAAAACCACAAACAAGACAACAACCUCUUCAUGACAUUAAGAGCUGGUAUCUGCUGUAAAAACACCCUCAUAAUGUAGAUGAGAGGGCGCAGACAGUGAGCCUAUAAUGGACAUGCAUUAUUAAUCAUUAAAAAUCAAUGAGAGCAGACUGACUCCGAGCAGCAGUGUAGGUCUAUGAUGUGCUUAAUGAUGGAUUAUGAGGAUAAUUACCAUGAGAUGAGAAAGCAGAGGAUACAGCUCUACAAAGUGAAGUGUCACUAAUUACAGCAAAAUCUCUGUUUCCCAGACGCACCAACAUCUGGGGCCUCCGAC
Molecule: non-coding RNA, 3376 nt
Organism: Xyrichtys novacula (pearly razorfish)
Lineage: Eukaryota; Metazoa; Chordata; Actinopteri; Labriformes; Labridae
Source: the annotation of a GenBank genome assembly